GCAUAUCAAUAAGCGGAGGAAAAGAAACCAACCGGGAUUGCCUCAGUAACGGCGAGUGAAGCGGCAAGAGCUCAAAUUUGAAAUCUGGCCCCUUUGGGGUCCGAGUUGUAAUUUGCAGAGGAUGCUUCGGGUGCGGUCCCCGUCUAAGUGCCCUGGAACGGGCCGUCAUAGAGGGUGAGAAUCCCGUCUGGGAUGGGCGGCCGCGCCCGUGUGAAGCUCCUUCGACGAGUCGAGUUGUUUGGGAAUGCAGCUCUAAGUGGGUGGUAAAUUUCAUCUAAAGCUAAAUACUGGCCGGAGACCGAUAGCGCACAAGUAGAGUGAUCGAAAGAUGAAAAGCACUUUGAAAAGAGAGUUAAACAGCACGUGAAAUUGUUGAAAGGGAAGCGUUGUCCACCAGACUCGCCCGGGGGGGCUCAGCCGGCACUCGUGCCGGUGUACUCCUCCCCGGGCGGGCCAGCAUCGGUUUGGGCGGCUGGUGAAAGGCCCCGGGAAUGUAACACCCUCCGGGGUGCCUUAUAGCCCGGGGUGUCAUGCGGCCAGCCUGGACCGAGGCCCGCGCUUCGGCGAGGAUGCUGGCGUAAUGGUGGUCAACGGCCCGUCUUGAAACACGGACCAAGGAGUCUAACAUCUAUGCGAGUGUUCGGGUGUCAAACCCGUCCGCGCAGUGAAAGCGAACGGAGGUGGGAGCCCCUCGGGGCGCACCAUCGACCGAUCCUGAAGUCUUCGGAUGGAUUUGAGUAAGAGCAUAGCUGUUGGGACCCGAAAGAUGGUGAACUAUGCCUGAAUAGGGCGAAGCCAGAGGAAACUCUGGUGGAGGCUCGCAGCGGUUCUGACGUGCAAAUCGAUCGUCAAAUUUGGGUAUAGGGGCGAAAGACUAAUCGAACCAUCUCGUAGCU
This 896-nucleotide ribosomal RNA is filed under the name Talaromyces cinnabarinus. RNAcentral's name for it is "LSU rRNA". It matches the Rfam family "Eukaryotic large subunit ribosomal RNA", at positions 38 to 952 of the family's 3401-position model. Lineage: Eukaryota; Fungi; Ascomycota; Eurotiomycetes; Eurotiales; Trichocomaceae. The record is from RNAcentral.